This 495-nucleotide ribosomal RNA is filed under the name uncultured bacterium. RNAcentral's name for it is "partial 16S ribosomal RNA". It matches the Rfam family "Bacterial small subunit ribosomal RNA", at positions 28 to 523 of the family's 1533-position model. The record is from RNAcentral.
GAUGAACGCUAGCGGCAGGCCUAAUACAUGCAAGUCGAGGGGUAGAAGAGGCUUGCUUCUUUGAGACCGGCGCACGAGUGCGUAACGCGUAUGCAACCUACCUUCAUCUGGGGGAUAGCCCGGAGAAAUCCGGAUUAAUACCGCAUAAAAUCACAGGAUGGCAUUAUCCAAUGAUCAAACAUUUAUGGGAUGGAGAUGGGCAUGCGUGUCAUUAGCUAGUUGGCGGGGUAACGGCCCACCAAGGCGACGAUGACUAGGGGAUCUGAGAGGAUGGCCCCCCACACUGGUACUGAGACACGGACCAGACUCCUACGGGAGGCAGCAGUAAGGAAUAUUGGUCAAUGGAGGCAACUCUGAACCAGCCAUGCCGCGUGCAGGAAGACUGCCCUAUGGGUUGUAAACUGCUUUUAUUCGGGAAUAAACCUAUUACGUGUAAUAAGCUGAAUGUACCGAAGGAAUAAGGAUCGGCUAACUCCGUGCCAGCCGCCGCGGUAA